This 393-nucleotide ribosomal RNA is filed under the name uncultured bacterium. RNAcentral describes it as "partial 16S ribosomal RNA". It matches the Rfam family "Bacterial small subunit ribosomal RNA", at positions 523 to 918 of the family's 1533-position model. The record is from RNAcentral.
CUACGGAGGAUGCGAGCGUUAUCCGGAUUUAUUGGGUUUAAAGGGAGCGUAGGUGGGAUAUUAAGUCAGCUGUGAAAGUUUGGGGCUCAACCUUAAAAUUGCAGUUGAUACUGGUUUCCUUGAGUACGGUACAGGUGGGCGGAAUUCGUGGUGUAGCGGUGAAAUGCUUAGAUAUCACGAAGAACUCCGAUCGCGAAGGCAGCUCACCGGGCCGGAACUGACACUGAUGCUCGAAAGUGCGGGUAUCAAACAGGAUUAGAUACCCUGGUAGUCCGCACAGUAAACGAUGAAUACUCGCUGUUUGCGAUACACUGUAAGCGGCCAAGCGAAAGCGUUAAGUAUUCCACCUGGGGAGUACGCCGGCAACGGUGAAACUCAAAUGAAUUGACGGGG